Mycena latifolia is the source of this 95-nucleotide non-coding RNA. NCBI's taxonomy places the organism in Eukaryota, Fungi, Basidiomycota, Agaricomycetes, Agaricales, Mycenaceae. The record is from the annotation of a GenBank genome assembly.
GGUCUGGUGGUGUAGUGGUAACACCCCUGCUUUACAUAAGGGAAUCGGUAUCUGGUUUCAGCAGGAGAUCUCUUGUUAGACUCAAGGUCAGGCCA